UACGUAGGGGGCGAGCGUUGUCCGGAAUCAUUGGGCGUAAAGAGCGUGUAGGCGGCUUGGCAAGUCUGACGUGAAAGCCCGCGGCUCAACCGCGGAUUGUCGUUGGAAACUGCCUCGCUAGAGUCCGGAAGAGGAGAGCGGAAUUCCUGGUGUAGCGGUGGAAUGCGCAGAUAUCAGGAAGAACACCCGUGGCGAAGGCGGCUCGCUGGGACGGUGCUGACGCUGAGACGCGAAAGCGUGGGGAGCGAACAGG
RNAcentral lists this ribosomal RNA (253 nucleotides) under uncultured bacterium. RNAcentral's name for it is "partial 16S ribosomal RNA". It matches the Rfam family "Bacterial small subunit ribosomal RNA", at positions 524 to 776 of the family's 1533-position model. The record is from RNAcentral.